This 370-nucleotide ribosomal RNA is filed under the name uncultured bacterium. Its description in RNAcentral is "bacterial SSU rRNA". It matches the Rfam family "Bacterial small subunit ribosomal RNA", at positions 790 to 1167 of the family's 1533-position model. The record is from RNAcentral.
GUAGUCUUGGCCAUAAACGAUGUUCACUAGGUGUCGGGGUUCUCCUCGGUGCCGCAGCUAACGCAUUAAGUGAACCGCCUGGGGACUACGGCCGCAAGGUUGAAACUCAAAGGAAUUGGCGGGGGCCCGCACAAGCGGUGGAGCAUGUGGCUUAAUUCGAUGCAACGCGAAGAACCUUACCAGGGCUUGACAUGGAUCUGCAAGCUCGUGAAAGCGAGUCGCUUUCGAAGGUGAUUCACAGGUGGUGCAUGGCUGUCGUCAGCUCGUGUUGUGAAAUGUUGGGUUAAGUCCCGCAACGAGCGCAACCCUCACGUUUUGUUACCAGCGAGUAAUGUCGGGAACUCGAAACGAACUGCCUCUGUAAAGAGGA